UUAUGUUGACUUUGUCCUUGGCG
RNAcentral lists this non-coding RNA (23 nucleotides) under Cricetulus griseus (Chinese hamster). The record is from RNAcentral. Lineage: Eukaryota; Metazoa; Chordata; Mammalia; Rodentia; Cricetidae.